Molecule: ribosomal RNA, 490 nt
Filed under: uncultured organism
Description: SSU rRNA
Rfam family: Bacterial small subunit ribosomal RNA
Source: RNAcentral
AGAGUUUGAUCCUGGCUCGAGGACGAACGCUGGCGGCGUGCUUAACACAUGCAAGUCGAACGGGCACUUCGGUGCUAGUGGCGAACGGGUGAGUAAAGCGCAGGUAAUCUGCCGCAAAGUCGGGGACAACGUUUCGAAAGGGACGCUAAUACCGGAUGUUGUGAGUAAUUCGCAUGAAUUAUUCACCAAAGAUUUAUCGCUUUGCGAGGAGCCUGCGUCCGAUUAGGCAGUUGGUGUGGUAAAGGCGCACCAAACCGACGAUCGGUAGCCGGUCUGAGAGGAUGAACGGCCACAAUGGAACUGAGACACGGUCCAUACUCCUACGGGAGGCAGCAGUGGGGAAUAUUCCACAAUGGGCGAAAGCCUGAUGGAGCGACGCCGCGUGAGUGAAGAAGGGCUUCGGCUCGUAAAGCUCUUUUCUCGUUGACGAAUGACACUUAAGAAGUGUAGGGACGGUAGAUGGGGAAUAAGCCACGGCUAACUACGUGCC